CGUAGGGUCCGAGCGUUGUCCGGAAUUAUUGGGCGUAAAGAGCUCGUAGGCGGCGUGUCGCGUCUGCUGUGAAAGACCGGGGCUUAACCCCGGUUCUGCAGUGGAUACGGGCAUGCUAGAGGUAGGUAGGGGAGACUGGAAUUCCUGGUGUAGCGGUGAAAUGCGCAGAUAUCAGGAGGAACACCGGUGGCGAAGGCGGGUCUCUGGGCCUUACCUGACGCUGAGGAGCGAAAGCAUGGGGAGCGAACAGGAUU
Molecule: ribosomal RNA, 254 nt
Filed under: uncultured bacterium
Lineage: Bacteria
Description: partial 16S ribosomal RNA
Rfam family: Bacterial small subunit ribosomal RNA
Source: RNAcentral